GGGGAUUUAGCUCAGCGGCAUAAGCACCUGCCUGGCAAGCAAGAGGUUGUGAGCUCAAUCCCCG
Molecule: transfer RNA, 64 nt
Filed under: Cavia porcellus (domestic guinea pig)
Lineage: Eukaryota; Metazoa; Chordata; Mammalia; Rodentia; Caviidae
Rfam family: tRNA
About the family: Transfer RNA (tRNA) molecules are approximately 80 nucleotides in length. Their secondary structure includes four short double-helical elements and three loops (D, anti-codon, and T loops). Further hydrogen bonds mediate the characteristic L-shaped molecular structure. tRNAs have two regions of fundamental functional importance: the anti-codon, which is responsible for specific mRNA codon recognition, and the 3' end, to which the tRNAs corresponding amino acid is attached (by aminoacyl-tRNA synthetases). tRNAs cope with the degeneracy of the genetic code in two manners: having more than one tRNA (with a specific anti-codon) for a particular amino acid; and 'wobble' base-pairing, i.e. permitting non-standard base-pairing at the 3rd anti-codon position.
Source: Rfam by way of RNAcentral